GAAAAUCUCCGAUCUGAGAGCCUCUAUCGCUGAUUUUUCCGGUUUUGAAGUGCAAGCUGGGGUCCCAUAUUUUCCUGCAACUUUCAUGUAAUAAAGCACAUUUUAGUCUAUACCUGUCAGAAUUGUAUCGUGCAGUUCUGUAUUUGAUAUGAGCAAACCGCUGAUCCUAUGUGCGCGGUUUCUUAGAAGUGAACUUUGUUU
Molecule: unclassified non-coding RNA, 201 nt
Filed under: Hevea brasiliensis (rubber tree)
Lineage: Eukaryota; Viridiplantae; Streptophyta; Magnoliopsida; Malpighiales; Euphorbiaceae
Source: RNAcentral